CCUACGGGCGGCAGCAGUGGGGAAUAUUGGACAAUGGGCGAAAGCCUGAUCCAGCCAUGCCGCGUGUGUGAAGAAGGCCUUCGGGGUGUAAAGCACUUUCAGUGGGGAAGAAAGCCUUGGGGCUAAUACCCUCGAGGAAGGACAUCACCCACAGAAGAAGCACCGGCUAACUCCGUGCCAGCAGCCGCGGUAAUACGGAGGGUGCGAGCGUUAAUCGGAAUUACUGGGCGUAAAGCGCGCGUAGGCGGUCUGAUAAGCCGGUUGUGAAAGCCCCGGGCUCAACCUGGGAACGGCAUCCGGAACUGUCAGGCUAGAGUGCAGGAGAGGAAGGUAGAAUUCCCGGUGUAGCGGUGAAAUGCGUAGAGAUCGGGAGGAAUACCAGUGGCGAAGGCGGCCUUCUGGACUGACACUGACGCUGAGGUGCGAAAGCGUGGGUAGCAAACAGGAUUAGAUACCCUAGUAGUC
Molecule: ribosomal RNA, 465 nt
Filed under: Vreelandella stevensii
Lineage: Bacteria; Pseudomonadati; Pseudomonadota; Gammaproteobacteria; Oceanospirillales; Halomonadaceae
Description: partial 16S ribosomal RNA
Rfam family: Bacterial small subunit ribosomal RNA
Source: RNAcentral